Molecule: long non-coding RNA, 1442 nt
Organism: Prunus persica (peach)
Lineage: Eukaryota; Viridiplantae; Streptophyta; Magnoliopsida; Rosales; Rosaceae
Exons: 5
Source: RefSeq, a predicted model, not a curated record
GCACCUGGCGCAUGGGUGCACCAUUUGUCCUUUAUGAAAUUGAUUUGUAAAGAAAAUAAAAGAGAACCUGCUAUAACAGGUCAAGGUAAUAGGUUUUCUCUUGGGCCUUUUUACGCUAUAGCAUCUCUCCCUCUCAACCCUAAUUCCUCAUCUCAUUUGAGAUUUUUUUCAGAAACAGAAAGCUCCCAUUCUUCUAUCACUUGCUUUCUCAGUCAGAGGCAUUUCAAAUUUACUUAGGGUUGGAUUUCUCAUCUCUCUCUUUGAGUUCGAUUCCUUCCACAACAGCUCCUCUCCUCCUCCUGUAACGAAGAGACGAUGCCGGCAACCACAUCUCCUUUCCUCACAGGUUUUCACAGUUAUGAUUCCUUUGUCUCACUCUCAUCUGGAUCUCUGUGGCUGGCUUUAUCUCAACCUCUCUAUGGCAGAUAGAUCAUUGCUACUUACUUUAAAUUGAUGGCCUUCAGACUGCAUAUCGUUCAAACAUUGGGUUCUUGAAGGAAGAUGCUAGAUGAUGGAGAAUCCAUUUCAGCCUUGAAGAGAUAUUGCAGUUGGAGGUCCUAUCCUUGCUAGUUGUUUGGGAACACAGAGACGUGAAGAUGAAUAUGCACUUUGGGUUUCCCUUGUCCGAUGGUUCGCUGAUCAUCACAAGUGUUUUGAUUUGCUUUCUGGUUCGUUCAAUGUAUAGUAAAAUAUCGCUAUAUAAUUUAUUUCCUCUUCUUUUGCAGCGGGAGUAGCUAUUUUCAUUUUACUGAUAUCAUUUUACUCAACUCGUGACGUACAAGGAGUGACAGAGGCAGAAAAAUUCAGCGAUUCAUAUCUUUUGUGGCUCAUGAGUUGGUGAUGUGUGUUUUAUUGUGAAUGGUAGUUUGAGUAUGUCAUGUCAAGUUGGCUACAUAAGAAAUACACAAAUUCCUGGGAAGAAUACGAUUUCUUGAAUUGUUUAUUAGGAGUAGGAUGUGUUUACUUGAUUGUCGACAUUAUAUUUAGUGUUUCAUAAAUGCAUUAGAAUGGUUAAAAGCACUACAAAUUCUAUUGUUUUUACUUUUAGGUACUGAAAGCAUGGAAGAGAAGAAAAAUGAAAUGACAGAGGUCGUUUGGCAAUUACCAUUCAGACGAUUGGCUUUCGCAAAUUAGAAUGGCAAUUACAUAGUGCCUAUUUGUCAAUUGCCAACAUGACUUGGCUGUGUUGUAACAAAAUAAAGGAAUUUUAUAUGAGCUUGGUGACGUAAGGCAUGGGUUGAAUUGAAGAUGGGAGUUUAGUAGAAUGUAGUUCAAUUUUUAUUUUUUCUAUUUCUACUGUUGUUUUUAGCCUUCAGAUCUUUGAUUGUAGUUCAGUUUUUUUUUCCCUUCUUGUAUUUGGCAUUUAGUUUUUUUUAAAUUUGUGUAAAAUACAAUAUAUGAUUUGCCAAUGCAAUUGACAUAGGUAGUGUCAUUUCCAUUUA